UACAGAGGGUGCUAGCGUUGCUCGGAAUCAUUGGGCGUAAAGCGCACGUAGGCGGUUCGUUAUGUCGGAUGUGAAAGCCCUUGGCUUAACCGAGGAAGUGCAUCCGAAACUGGCGAGCUAGAGUACUAAAGAGGAUCGCGGAAUUCCCGGUGUAGAGGUGAAAUUCGUAGAUAUCGGGAGGAACACCAGUGGCGAAGGCGGCGAUCUGGGAAGAUACUGACGCUGAGGUGCGAAAGCGUGGGGAGCAAACAGG
RNAcentral lists this ribosomal RNA (253 nucleotides) under uncultured bacterium. RNAcentral describes it as "partial 16S ribosomal RNA". It matches the Rfam family "Bacterial small subunit ribosomal RNA", at positions 524 to 776 of the family's 1533-position model. The record is from RNAcentral.